UUUGCAUUACUAUCCUUUAUCUUUAUCAUGUUUGUUUUACUCAGAUAUUAGUGUCGUGACAUUACCUUCGACAUCUCAUAUCUGAUACCAGAAUUUCAAUUGGUAUCAGAGCAGGCAUCCUGCUCUUGUUCUGGGUGAGAUCUAGGGACAAUACUUUCUGGUACUAUGGAGAGAGAUGGAGGAUCUGUUCACAGGCCACCAAUUCUGGACAGAUCUAACUAUGACU
This 226-nucleotide long non-coding RNA is filed under the name Lathyrus oleraceus (garden pea). RNAcentral's name for it is "Pisum sativum (pea) long non-coding RNA (PSAT_LNC036820)". The record is from RNAcentral. Lineage: Eukaryota; Viridiplantae; Streptophyta; Magnoliopsida; Fabales; Fabaceae.